AUUCUUGGGAUCUAUUUCCUCCUACUGGGUUGCCUUGCCCAGCCCUGAUAUGAGGGUUACUAGAACUUGCUAUGUUGCGGUCGGUUGGUAUCCUUCGGAGACCUGCUCUUUUCUGAAGGAAAACCAAGGAGGAAUGAAUCUGGGUGAGAGGGGAGGUGGGGGGGGGGGGGACUGGAAGGGUGGAAGGAGGGGAAACUGUGGUCUGGAGAGGGAGGAAGAAGGAGAGGGGGAGGGAAGGGGGAGGGAAGGAGGAAAGGGGAGGAGGGGGUUAGGGAGAGGAGGGGAGGGGAGGGACAGGGAAGGGAAGGGGGAGGGGGAGGGGAAGAAGAGAGGACCGGGAGGAGCGUACUGAGCUCAGAUUCAGGGCCGGCUCUAAGCAUGCUUUACCUUGCCUUUUAUUUUUCAGUUCCUGGCAGUCAAAGCAAGCCUCGGACUCUCUAGCCUUUCUUACUCUUUCUCUGACCUCAACCUCUAAUUUAAAAAGCACGAUUACUGUGCCAGUAUUUAAAGCUUGCCUGGCCUGGUUGUUUUUCUCUCAAAGAGAAAAACUGGCUAGUCUUCUGUCAACUUGACACACGAAUUAGAGUUAUUUGAAAGGAGAGAGCCUGAAUUGAGAAGAUGCCUCCAUAAGAUCUGACCGUGUGGAGGAGGGCCCAGCCCAAUGUGGGUGGCGCCAACUCUGGGCUGGUGGUCCUGGGUUCUAUAAGAAAUCAGCGCCCCCCAUGGCCUCUGCAUUAGUACCUGUCUCCAGAAUACUGCCCUGUUUGAGUUCCUGUCCUGACUUCCCUCCAUGAUGAACAAUAAUGAAGUGUAACCCAAAUAAGCCCUUCCCUCCAACUUGCUUUUCGGUCAUUGUGUUUUGUUGCAAACUCUAAUUCUAAAUUAUUUUGUUAAGCUAAGAACCUAAAAGGGCUCCCUGGAUUGCCUGGAACCGUUGUAUUCCUGUACCGGACACGAGAACAAGGCUUUCCCUGCAUACCGAUCUUUACUUAAAGCCUUUAUUUUCUACACAUUUGCUCCUCCCGUCCCCUCCCCCGUAGUCUCUUCAUACUGUACCGCGCUUUGCUAUGUUAUGAAAUAUAAUUACGGGGGGGGGGGGGACCUGGUGGGCCCAUGCCAGGAUGUCCCCCUGAGAAAUCACACCAUGCAAUAGACCUAGUAUAAAAGGGGUUUAUUUAGGCGAAGGGAGAGGAGGAAGGGCCUGUAGAAGAGGUAGGGGCAGACAGAUGGGGGCAGAGAAGGGAGAGACAGCAGAAAGGAGGAGAGAGAUUGCCUGGCUGGGAACACGUGGGCGAACUGGGGUGGCGAGCAGUCUUUUCUUUUUUUUUUUUCUUUUUUUUUUUUAGGCUCCUAGACUGCACCUUACUGCGGCAGGUAAUGGCGGCACAUUAUGAAGUAAGCCCUUGCUAGGUCCCUAGGAGGAACCCAGCGGAAUCACCUGUAAGUCAACACCAGAGGGCUUCAUCAAUCUAGUUGGCCACGAACAGCCAUCUUGUGAACCGAUGUGGCAGCUCGGGAGACCAGAGAUGCUGUAAGGAUGAGCUGGAAAUUUGUGUGACUCCCUGAGAGAAGAGUGCCUGGACAUGACCCCCGACCCCCUUGGCUGCUCUGCCUUCCUGCUUCGGCCUCACUUGCCUUCUUGAGCUCCCGUGGUCCAGCUGACUCCCAGACCACUGCCUGGCUGGUUCACAGGGCCACUAUGGCUUCUCCCAGUCAUCAUUGGAUGGUCCUUAGCAAAUGAGACCAAGUCUUCCUGAUACAUUGUAUCCUGCUGGGAGAUUGGCAGAAUCAAAGAUAUGAUUUGGAACCUCUGAACGUUACAGAAUUUCUUGAGAUUAGUAGGUGCCUCAGAACACACCCAGCCUUUCUUCUCUCCGUGGGACGGUUCAGGGUAUACCGUCAAGAUAGAUGCAUGAGAACGGUUCGCAAUCAAAUUCCUACCUGGUUCCCGCUGCAACAGCCACCUCUGUCCUUCGGAGCGUGUUGCUACCAGACUUGUUUAUCUACCAGACUCCUUUCAGUACAGAUGAGAGCUCCACUUCUAUCUGUAGUUAUCGUCCUUUCCCUGUGAAUGUCCCCCUGAACGACUGUUCUAAUUCUUAGUAGAGAAACUCGCUCGUCCUACAUAUGAACUACAGCUGCAAACAUUUUCAAAAGAGGUGAAGUCAUGCAGUUUUAUAAGACAUAGUCAAGUGUCAACACUUUGCUAGGACUCUUGGUAACCAAGGGUGACUCAGGAUUGACAUUCCGUUGUGCUAGAGGGGAACUGAGACCCUAAAACCUGUUGUCCCCCCCCCCCCCCCGUGCUGGGGACCGAACCCAGGGCCUUGCGCUUCCUAGGCAAGCGCUCUACCACUGAGCCAAAUCCCCAACCCCAAAACCUGUUGUUUUGUUUUUUGUUGUUUUUUUUUUUUAGCAUAACAAUUUUAAGAUACUGCCUACCAUCAGACACCACCCCUCCCCUCCCCUUUCUCCCUCUCUUUUCCCUCCCCCUCCCCCUUCCCCAUGUUUGUUGUUAAGGAUUGAAGCCCAGCGUUUCAUAUCUUAGUCACCUGCUCUACGGCUAAGCUACACCACCAGAUCUUCUGCCCACUUAAUAAUAGAGUUGCAAUGGCUGCACAGCUGAGAAAUGUCCGAUAAUAUUAACUAUUAGAAUCUGAAUUUGACUGUCAGUGGUGGCUCACACUUUUAAUCCCAGCACCUAGGAGGCAGAGGCAGGCAGAUCUCUGCAAGUUCAAGGCCAGCCUGGUCUACAGUAAGUAGCAAUCGAUAUCACAGCUUCAGCUUUCUGCGAGAGUACCACAGUUCAAUUCACCGUUGACUCUUUAUUGUUCAGACUUGUGUAAAUUCGUGCCAGUGUGUCAUUAUUAAUUAUUAGGAUGCUUCCUAUCAUUCCUUUAAAAUAUUGUAUUACUUUUAAAAAGGCUCUUUUAAAAUUAUUUUGAAUUAUGUGUAUGUGUCUAUGAAUAGAAAUGUGCUCACGAAUGCAGUUGCCUUUUGAAGCCAGAAGAAAUGGGUUAGAUCCUGGAAACUGGAUCUAACCAGUUAAAGGCAUGAGUGCCCAGGUUCUCUAAACUGUUGCAACGUCUCUCUCCAGCCCCACUAUUUCAUUGCUUAAAAUAAAUUCCCAGGAAGGAGACUGAUAGAUGAAAGAUCAUGACUGUGUAUAGUUUUUGAACCAUAUUGUCAAUUAUCCACCAAAAUGUUCAAACAAAUUUAUAUGCGUGCUUGAUGCAGUGGCCCACACUCGUAAGUCUAGCACUGGGAACCUGUGACAGUUUAUACAGGCUCAGCCCAGAGAGUGGCACUAUUAGGUAUGGCACUGUUGGAGUGGGUGUGGCCCUGUUGGAGUAGGUGUGUCACUGUAGGUGGUGGUAGUCCUAGCUGCUUGGAAGCAAGUCUUCUUCCAGUAACCUUCACAGAAAAAUGUAGAACUCCCAGCACCUCCUGCACCCUGCCUGCCGGAUGCUGCCAUGCUUCCUUCUUGAUAAUGGACUGAAUUAAUUAAAUGUUGUCCUUAUAAAAGUUGCCUUGGUCGUGAUGUCUGAUCACACCAAGAAAACCCUAACUAAGACAGAGGCUAAGAUAGGAUGACUGCAGGUUCAACACCAGGGUAGACCACAUAGUAAGCUUAAAGAGAGCCCUGAGCUCAGUGGCAAGACUCUGUCCCUCCCAAAAUAUAGACUUACAAGCAGUUUUUGGAGGCUUAUUAAAUUAUACUACUUUGAAGUUCUUUAUUGUCCAUCUGCAAGGUGCUGACAGUGAUUUUACUCUUAUUUAAUCGUUAAUGAAUCUGAGUACUGUCUUGUGGGGUCUCAGAAAAUGUUCUACUUUGAACUUCAACUGCAAGGCCCUGGGGAGAGUGAGUGUUGGGAUGGGUGGGCCUCCACUGAAGCCCACUUAUCUGAAGGCCAGGUCCACCGGAGAGGAGCCAGAUAGUCUUUAGACCUCCAACUGAGAUUUUAUAUAUGGAGGAAUGUCAAAUGGGAGUCAGAGAGGGAGCAUUCUCCCGACAGGAAGUUUUCUUCAAGCCGUUCACUCUUCAUUAUACCUCACAGUCACUUUCUGCCUCUUGGAGUCUGCCUGCGUCACCCAGUUCUCUCGCUCUCCUUUGAAGAGUGUUCUUAAUUACCUGGCCUAUGUUUGUUCUAUUUUAAUUUGUCUUUGGUUUCUUAUAUUCUUUUCUUUUGGAUUAGCUCUCAUGUAACCCAGGCUGGCCCCAGACUCACUAAGAAGCAGACAAUGAUGACCUUGAAUUCCUGACCUCAUAACUGCUGAGAUUACAAGUGUGCCUGCCAUGCCCAGCUUUGGCCCCUUUUUGAGCUUUAUAUUUUGUAUAACUCCCAUGAAUGUCUAUAUAUUAUUAAUAUAUGUGUCUAUUUUUGCUCCUAUAAUUUGUAUAUAAUCUAUCUUUUCACAUUGGAGAACCUUCAGAAGACUGAGGGACAAUUUUCACUCCUUGAAAGCCAUAUGUUUUUGAUAGUCACUUGCAUGUCUUUAUAGAGAAAACACUUACUUAUUUUCUCUAAGUUGCCUUUUUUUUUCUACCUCAUAAAAUCUAUUUAUUAAUUGUUUGUUUGGUUUGUUUUUUUUUUUUUUUUUGUUUACUCGCUUGUUUUCAGAGACAAGGACUAAUGUCGUCCAUGCUGGCCUCUAACUCACUGUUUCAUCCAGGAUGAUCUGGAACUUCCGAUCCUCCUGCUUUUACUUCCCUAGAGCUAUGGUUACAGGUGAACACCACGAUAAUGAAGGACCCUAGUUCUUACUGAAGUGUAAGAGCUAUUAAGAGACUUGGCCUGGUAGAAAGUAGGUAGGUUAUGGAGUUCCUAUGAAGGACCCUAAGAGCUUUACACCUACUGCCUCAGGUCAAGAUUAGGCCAAGUAGGGUUGGGGAUUUAGCUCAGUGGUAGAGUGCUUGCCUAGCAAGCGCAAGACCCUGGGUUCAGUCCCCAGCUCCGAAAAAAAGAAAAAAGAGAGAAAAAAAAAAAAAAGAUUAGGCCAAGUACCAGCUUCCCACCUCGGGUCAAGGAUAGGCCAAGUUCCAUUCUCCAUCCACUGUUUUCCGGAGGAGCAGGGGCAUUCUUGAAAAUCCGAAGACUAUACUGACAUAGUCAGCUGACCCUCUGAUCCCAAAUAGAGUUCGGAUGCAUGCUAUAGUCUGCCUAUGCUUGCUAGCCAAUAGAUUCAAAGGUCAAUAUGUUUAGCCAAUAAGUUUAAAUUGUAACCUUGCUGAUGCAACCUGUACCCCUAAAAAGUAUAAAAACUGCUUGUCUAUAGCCAUUCAGGGUCACCUUCUAGUCAGUUGCCACAAGGAGCUGAUUAAAGGUCGACCCUGACACGCUGGAAAAUAAACCUCUUGCAUUUACAUCGAA
Rattus norvegicus (Norway rat) is the source of this 5372-nucleotide non-coding RNA. NCBI's taxonomy places the organism in Eukaryota, Metazoa, Chordata, Mammalia, Rodentia, Muridae. The record is from RefSeq and is a predicted model, not a curated record.